UACGUAGGGUGCAAGCGUUAAUCGGAAUUACUGGGCGUAAAGCGUGCGCAGGCGGUUUUGUAAGUCUGUCGUGAAAUCCCCGGGCUCAACCUGGGAAUUGCGAUGGAGACUGCAAGGCUAGAAUCUGGCAGAGGGGGGGUAGAAUUCCACGUGUAGCAGUGAAAUGCGCAGAUAUCAGGAGGAACACCAAUGGCGAAGGCAGCUCACUGGGACGGUAUUGACGCUGAGACGCGAAAGCGUGGGGAGCAAACAGG
RNAcentral lists this ribosomal RNA (254 nucleotides) under uncultured bacterium. RNAcentral describes it as "partial 16S ribosomal RNA". It matches the Rfam family "Bacterial small subunit ribosomal RNA", at positions 524 to 776 of the family's 1533-position model. The record is from RNAcentral.